This 570-nucleotide ribosomal RNA is filed under the name Triticum aestivum (bread wheat). RNAcentral describes it as "partial small subunit ribosomal RNA". Lineage: Eukaryota; Viridiplantae; Streptophyta; Magnoliopsida; Poales; Poaceae. The record is from RNAcentral.
AUGGAGGAGCAGGAGAUAAAUCUGGCCGUCGCCGGCGUAGGGGAGGUGAAGGAGGGGCUGGAGGAGUCGUUCGAGCCGACGGAGGACGAGCUGGUGCUGCACUUCCUGCGGCCGCAGCUGCGCGGGUUCGCGCCGCGCGUGGCGGGCGCGGUGGUGGAGGCGGACCCGUGCGCGGCGACCCCCUGGGAGCUGCUGGCGCGGCACGGCCUGCUGCGGCGCGGGCACGGCUACUUCUUCGCGGCGCGGCGGCGGCGCGGGAAGCGCGCCCAGGCGCGGCGCACGCCGGAGGGCGGCGGCGGCGCGUGGAUGCACAGCGGCAACAGGGAGGACCGCCGGUCCGUGACGGAGCUGGGCGUGGUGGCGCGCUGGUCCAUGACGCGCUACUGCUUCUACGCCCGCGACUGGGCGCAGGGGCGGCGGAGCACCGGCUGGGUCAUGUCCGAGUACGAGAUCACGGACCCGCGGUGCUACCGGCGCGCCGACGACGGCGAGGAGGACCACUACUGGGUGCUCUGCCACGUCCGCCGGAGCGUCAGGAAGAACCUCAAGCCGCGCUCCCGGAGGCCGUAG